UAAGCCCAACUUGAAAAUCUCCGUCCUUCGGACGGCGAAUUGUAGUCUAGAGAGGUGUUCUCUGCGGCGGGCCGUGCCCAAGUCCCUUGGAAGGGGGCGUCCGAGAGGGUGAGAACCCCGUCGGCCACGGUCUUAGCCGCUCCACGAGGCGCUUUCGCAGAGUCGGGUUGUUUGGGAAUGCAGCCCAAAGCAGGUGGUAAGUCCCAUCUAAGGCUAAAUACUGACGGGAGACCGAUAGCGAA
This 242-nucleotide ribosomal RNA is filed under the name Coccomyxa subellipsoidea. RNAcentral's name for it is "partial 28S ribosomal RNA". It matches the Rfam family "Eukaryotic large subunit ribosomal RNA", at positions 105 to 344 of the family's 3401-position model. The record is from RNAcentral. Lineage: Eukaryota; Viridiplantae; Chlorophyta; Trebouxiophyceae; Coccomyxaceae.